GGACGGGUGAGUAAUGCCUAGGAAUCUGCCUGGUAGUGGGGGACAACGUUUCGAAAGGAACGCUAAUACCGCAUACGUCCUACGGGAGAAAGCAGGGGACCUUCGGGCCUUGCGCUAUCAGAUGAGCCUAGGUCGGAUUAGCUAGUUGGUGAGGUAAUGGCUCACCAAGGCGACGAUCCGUAACUGGUCUGAGAGGAUGAUCAGUCACACUGGAACUGAGACACGGUCCAGACUCCUACGGGAGGCAGCAGUGGGGAAUAUUGGACAAUGGGCGAAAGCCUGAUCCAGCCAUGCCGCGUGUGUGAAGAAGGUCUUCGGAUUGUAAAGCACUUUAAGUUGGGAGGAAGGGCAGUAAGUUAAUACCUUGCUGUUUUGACGUUACCGACAGAAUAAGCACCGGCUAACUCUGUGCCAGCAGCCGCGGUAAUACAGAGGGUGCAAGCGUUAAUCGGAAUUACUGGGCGUAAAGCGCGCGUAGGUGGUUCGUUAAGUUGGAUGUGAAAGCCCCGGGCUCAACCUGGGAACUGCAUCCAAACUGGCGAGCUAGAGUACGGUAGAGGGUGGUGGAAUUUCCUGUGUAGCGGUGAAAUGCGUAGAUAUAGGAGACACCAGUGGCGAGCGACCACCUGACUGAUACUGACCUGAGGUGCGAAGCGUGGGGAGCAACAGAUAAAUACCUGGUAGUCA
RNAcentral lists this ribosomal RNA (687 nucleotides) under Pseudomonas putida. RNAcentral's name for it is "bacterial SSU rRNA". It matches the Rfam family "Bacterial small subunit ribosomal RNA", at positions 100 to 796 of the family's 1533-position model. Lineage: Bacteria; Pseudomonadati; Pseudomonadota; Gammaproteobacteria; Pseudomonadales; Pseudomonadaceae. The record is from RNAcentral.